AUUGAACGCUGGCGGCAGGCCUAACACAUGCAAGUCGAACGGUAACAGGAAACAGCUUGCUGUUUCGCUGACGAGUGGCGGACGGGUGAGUAAUGUCUGGGAAACUGCCUGAUGGAGGGGGAUAACUACUGGAAACGGUAGCUAAUACCGCAUAACGUCGCAAGACCAAAGAGGGGGACCUUCGGGCCUCUUGCCAUCGGAUGUGCCCAGAUGGGAUUAGCUAGUAGGUGGGGUAACGGCUCACCUAGGCGACGAUCCCUAGCUGGUCUGAGAGGAUGACCAGCCACACUGGAACUGAGACACGGUCCAGACUCCUACGGAAGGCAGCAGUGGGGAAUAUUGCACAAUGGGCGCAAGCCUGAUGCAGCCAUGCCGCGUGUAUGAAGAAGGCCUUCGGGUUGUAAAGUACUUUCAGCGGGGAGGAAGGGAGUAAAGUUAAUACCUUUGCUCAUUGACGUUACCCGCAGAAGAAGCACCGGCUAACUCCGUG
Molecule: ribosomal RNA, 490 nt
Filed under: uncultured bacterium
Lineage: Bacteria
Description: partial 16S ribosomal RNA
Rfam family: Bacterial small subunit ribosomal RNA
Source: RNAcentral